AUUGGGAAUGGAGGGAAAUAAAUGACUGGAUGGUCGCUGCUUUUUAAGUUUCAAAUUGACAUUCCAGACAAGCGGUGCCUGAGCCCGUGCCUGUCUUCAGAUCUUCACAGCACAGUUCCUGGGAAGGUGGAGCCACCAGCCUCUCCCUGACAAGCAAAGUGGAUCAGCAAAGGCUGCAGUCACCAGCAUCUUUUCCAACCUUAAUGAACUGUAUCCUCAAAAGAACACUAUCAGACUGGCUCUGCCGACUUCCAGUUCUGGAACAAGAUGGUUAAACUCAUUUUUCCCUGCUCUGCUCCUCUAAAUACAACUAAGUACCUUGGAAACUAUUCAGCAGACAAUGAUAAAGGGCUCUGAAAGCUAGAAGAAAAGGUGUACUUGCAAGAAACCUCAGGACUUGAGUAACAGCAACAUGGAGCCACACCGGUGAGGGCAGGGAGAGGGUGCUGGUUCUGAGCCAACUUUGCAUGGAAGGCCCAGCAGACCACGCUCAUUACUUACAGCCAGCAUCAUCGGGGAACUCCGGCACAGACCUGUAGUCAGUGCCCCACAGCGCCCCAGCCUUCUCUCCCGACAGGAGCGGCCAGGACAGGGAGCAGAAGGUGACUGCUGUGCUGCCUGGAGCUCUUCUGUCCGGAGGUUUAGUGAAACUAGAGAAACUCAGUG
Molecule: long non-coding RNA, 666 nt
Filed under: Homo sapiens (human)
Lineage: Eukaryota; Metazoa; Chordata; Mammalia; Primates; Hominidae
Description: non-protein coding MIR4435-2HG:13
Source: RNAcentral